This is a long non-coding RNA of Helianthus annuus (common sunflower), 2862 nucleotides long. RefSeq lists it as uncharacterized. The transcript is spliced from 17 exons. The record is from RefSeq and is a predicted model, not a curated record. Lineage: Eukaryota; Viridiplantae; Streptophyta; Magnoliopsida; Asterales; Asteraceae.
AACCAAAUCCUUCAUCGCCGUCUUCAUUCUUCUCUCAUCAUAUUCAACUUUUUCAAAUUCAUUCACACAAGUUUCUCAAUAUUCAGAACCCGAAGGUCAUGAUUCAGCCAACUGUUGAACAUUUUAACCUCCAGAAAUCACAACUGAUUCUUAUAAAGAAGUCUUGGGGAAAGGUGCUUUUAAAAAGUAUACAAAGCAUUAGAUGAAUUGGAAGGGACCAGAUAUCGAUCAUGAAGUAGCGGCUUACAUGACAGAUGGCUACUCAGGAAGUGAUUUGAAGAAUCUGUGUGUGGCAGUUGCACAUUUUCCAAUAAGAGAAAUUCUGGACAAGGAAAAGAAGGGGUGAUUACCGUGAUAUACUUAGCCUUACAAGAGUUUUAUUGCGUGGGUCCGAGAGCAAAUCAGAUGUUGACAUUAUUAUAGAAAGAAUUUAAAUGUGUUUAGAUCGAUGGGAAUGCCAUGGGGGCUGAGGGAUUUGUAAAUCUUGUGAUUAGGAAAGUGCAUACAUGUUGUUCGAUGAAAUGCCUGACGAAGAUUUUCAAGGUCUUGGUUCACAUUUCGAUAGUUGGAGCUGAUGCAUUUGAUUCUUUAAGAAUUCGAAGAGAGAUUAAUGGGAAAUGGCCCAUGCUUGAUUGUCCUCAAUGUAUGGAUAAGAAGGAACAAGCUAACACAAACUCUUUGGAAGUUGGAAAUCAUAAAGUUGAGAAAACACUUCUGGUGCCAUAAAAAUUAGGACCGUGAAGUCCAAAGAUUUGUCUGCUUCAUGGGUUUGGAAAAACCCCAUUGAUUACAAUCAAAGCAAAGCGGAGGACUCAAAGUCAUUGAAGCUUAGUAUGAUGAUUCAAGCUUGGUAUGAUGAUGCUGGUGGUGGGUUAAGACGUUAAGUUUCAUAGUCAUUGAAGCUUAGUAUGAUGAUGCAAGCUUGGUAUGAUUCAGAAAUGAUGUGAUUAUUAUAUUGAGUAUUAUAUGCCUCCAGCUUCCUUUUGAACUGGCGUAUGCACAUUUGUACGAGAUCAUUGGAUCAGAUAUCAUAAAGUUUGGGUUAACGACAAUUUACCUAUUUGCCAUUCAAUAUUUCACACAAAUUGGGGGUAAGGUGUCCGUGAAGUUAAUCAAGCGUGAAAAAAACGAGAGCUCUGAAUAUAGGGCUAACAAUUUGAUUUAAAAGGUGGUCGCUUGAUUUUUGAUUUGAAUCGCUUGGUGAAACGUGUGGGCAGAUUUAUUUCCAAACAUCUUUGCUUUGGAGUCCAACAAAAAUGAAAUUGUGGCUGUGAGAUGUCAAUCGUAGUGUCUCAAUUUGGUUUUGGGAGUGAAAAAAGGAACCAUUAUUGGAUGAAGAGCUGUUAGAGUUUGGUCUUUGUCAAAAUUUAAUUCAAGAUAUCACGCUCUGGGAGUCUACUAACCAGAUUUUGAAGAAGCGGGUUGACCAUUUCGAAAUAUGUUGGCCCUUUGAAUAAUACCAGGGCAAAUGAGACCUGCGGAGCUGCAUGAAGCACGGUUUGAGGCCUUUCAACAAGGGAUCUUGAAAGCUUCAAUAUUUGGAUGGGGUCAUCAGAAACCGGUAUUACUGUCCACUGGUGCACGAAAGAUACUUAUAAGGAUAUCAAAGUGUUGGUUUUAUUUGAAUCAUAGUGUUGACGUUAACACACAUUUUCACGGCCGCGUGGAUAAAGUUUCACCCACACCGAUUUCUAAGCCGUUGAUCGAGCAUUUAAUGCAUAGUCGUCAAUAGUGAAGUGCUGAUAAUGACGAUAAGCUACAUAUACGCUACAUAGCUAUAGUGUUAAAAUAGCGGGCACCAUAGUUGUUAACGGUGAAUAGCGACAAAUAGCGAUAAGGUACCUAUAUGUUACAUAGCCAAUAACGAUAAAUAGCGGGCAAUGAUUGUGAUUAAUGGUGGGUAUAAGUUCCGGGGGUGGUAGAAGGUGAUUGUGGUGGUGAUGGUUGACAAUUAUGGCGGACAAUGGUGGUUUGGUUUUUAGUGGUGCUCGGUGGAGCUAUGGAGAGUAACCGGGGUAGCCGGUGAGGGAUUAACCAGAGACGAGUCAAGUAACGAAUCAACCAUUGGUCAACAGCGGUCAAAGCUGGUCAAUAGUGGUUAACAUGUCAGACUCGGUUGGCAUUUGAAUCGGGGAAACUCGGUGAGGUUGAUUGGAUUAACAAGUUCAUUGAAUACUUCUCUUUUUUCUCGGGUCAUUAGUUCAAUUCGGGUCAACCAGUAAAAACAAAUCGAAUCUCUCAUGUAUACAUGCCUCUCAAUUAUUGAAACCUUAACCAAGCGACUUCAUCGUCUUCUUGAUUCUUUUGUACAUCAAACAAGAUCAAAGAUUUGUUUUCAGCGUCAUACUUCAAGUCAUGAAAAUAGUUUUUUAAUAAAAUGGCAUGCAUGAAGGUUUUUUAUUUAUUCUACAAGUGCGUUCACUGUCUUUGCUGGUGUUGGAUAAUGUACCUGAGAGGUUAAUUGUUUAUACAACAACAAAUAAUGGAGGUUUGUGAUUGACGAAGGCAAGAAUCCCGUAUAACAAAUGGGAAGUUAUUGGUUUGUGGGAUAGCUCGAAGCAAGCUUUUGAGAUUAUAUUUACAUUGGGUGCGCCUCAAACGGAUUCGAGGUAGAAGCUUCCUAAGAUUGAAUUGGUCAGACAAGCCUUCAAAACUCUACAACAUAUGCUUCAUAAGAUACCAUUGUGGGUUAAGAAUCCAGAUAUUGAUCGGGUAUGCAAUUCGCCGGGGAAUACUAUCCUACUUUUUAACUGAUGCGUACAUAUUGUAAUAGUGUUUUCAUGGUUGAUUGGAUUAACAAGUUCAUUGAAUACUCCACUUUUUUCUUGGGUUAUUAGUUAAUUUUAUUUGUGGUAUUUUGCA